Lemur catta (Ring-tailed lemur) is the source of this 295-nucleotide long non-coding RNA. RefSeq lists it as uncharacterized. NCBI's taxonomy places the organism in Eukaryota, Metazoa, Chordata, Mammalia, Primates, Lemuridae. The record is from RefSeq and is a predicted model, not a curated record. The transcript has 3 exons.
CUUGCAGGAGCAGAGAAGAGAGCCAGACACCGCCCUCCCUGGCUUCCGAAAGGUCACAGAGCUGUAUCCAAAUCAAGAACAGUUUGGACCAUCAAAUGGUGACUCAGAAACACCCUGGAAAAGUGGCCCUGCCAUGUGCAAGCAAGCUGGGAACUGUCGGAGACGUGACUGCAGAGCCCAGACCCCCACAGGCGAUGGGGAGGGAGCUCACCCCGGAGAGGAAGACUGUGAGUCGGAUCCCCAUGGACAUGACAGAGGAACUGCAUGGGGAGGCCGGUGAGAAUGUGAAUGGUCG